RNAcentral lists this ribosomal RNA (492 nucleotides) under uncultured bacterium. RNAcentral describes it as "partial 16S ribosomal RNA". It matches the Rfam family "Bacterial small subunit ribosomal RNA", at positions 30 to 507 of the family's 1533-position model. The record is from RNAcentral.
AGUGAACGCUGGCGGUAGGCCUAACACAUGCAAGUCGAACGGCAGCACAGUAAGAGCUUGCUCUUACGGGUGGCGAGUGGCGGACGGGUGAGGAAUACAUCGGAAUCUACUUUUUCGUGGGGGAUAACGUAGGGAAACUUACGCUAAUACCGCAUACGACCUACGGGUGAAAGCAGGGGAUCUUCGGACCUUGCGCGAUUGAAUGAGCCGAUGUCGGAUUAGCUAGUUGGCGGGGUAAAGGCCCACCAAGGCGACGAUCCGUAGCUGGUCUGAGAGGAUGGUCAGCGAGAGAGGAAGUGAAGAGCGGACGCGACUCCGCCGGGAGGCAGCAGUAGGGGAUGGUGCGCAAGGGGCGGAAGCAUGACGGGGCAACGCGGCGGGAGUGAGGAAGGGCUUCGGAGUGGAAAACUCUGUUAUUAGGGAAGAAAAAAUGUGUAAGUAACUAGGCCCGUCUUGACGGUACCGAAUCAGAAAGCAACGGCUAACUACGUG